RNAcentral lists this long non-coding RNA (1468 nucleotides) under Sus scrofa (pig). RNAcentral describes it as "lncRNA (ENSSSCG00005039791.1)". The record is from RNAcentral. Lineage: Eukaryota; Metazoa; Chordata; Mammalia; Artiodactyla; Suidae.
AGGGAAGAGUCUGGUAACAAGAUCUAGAAUCUUACAAAUGCAUUUGGUAAUGAAACAAUCAGGGAUAUGUAUAGGAUUAUGUACAAGAGCAGUCAUCUACCAUUGCUUGCACAAGUGAAAACUGCAAAUACUUCAAAAGUUCAAAAAUUUAGGGGCUAGUUUAACAAAUUAUAGCCAUACAGCCAUUAAAAAUGAUUACAUAAUCUGACUUAUCUGCAAAGAUAGGAGGCAGUAUUUGGAGACCAUACAUGCUCACAUUUUCCUUUAAAAAAAAACAAAAAAAAAAACCUUCACGUGUAUAUAUGAAAAAUCUUCAAGUUUACACAGCACUACGUUAGUAUGGUUAUAUCUGAGUGAUGAGGUUGUGGAUGAGUUUAACUUUUUUCACAUACGUUUAUGUACUUACUAUUGGGCAGUUUUGCUGGGAGCAGGCUUUUUUUUUUUUUUUUUUAAGUUUUUCUUCUUAAAAAAGUCACAAAAUACCAGUAAACUACUUCUUUGCGAAGGAAAACGGGCAUCUUGUGUGCAUCCCGCCGGGGACGGGGGCUGAAAGAAGCGUCCCCACAGGCGCGACCACGGCGACCGGAAACACGCCAGGAGGGCCCGCGGGGAUUCUGGGUAUGCAACGGACCCCGCGUUACCUCACGACGAAGAAACUGUUACCAUUUAAAAGGAAAAGUAACUUCGCUACAUAACAUCUACUAUUAACGCAGUCUAGGAAGGUUUUAUCCUGAAAUGCGUGCGGAGGAGGCUAGAGGGUGAAGGUUUUUUUCUCGGAAAUUACAGUCUUCCUCAACUCCCGCCUCCUCUCCACCCGGCGCUUCCCGUCACUUUGGAGGGACUCGAAGCCGUCCCAGGCCAUUUCUAUGGGUGACGACUUGUGGACUACCGUGAAGGUAAAGGCCCCGCGCCGACUAUUGUGAGCUAUUAACGCCCGGAAAAGCAGACGGUGAGCGGCGGAGUCUGGGCGUAGAGGCGAGGCACACUCUGAUUGGCCAGCGGCUCCCGGGUGCUGCGCAAUGGGUGUGGGUGCCAGGCAGGGCUCGGCGGGGCGGUGCGUUGCGCCCGCGCGUGCGCACCAGGUACCCCCUGCGCCUGCCCUUCUCUGUCGUGCCCGCGUGGGCGCGCCAGUGGCGGAACUUGGGCUUGAUUAAGGCGAUCCCUACGAGUGGAGGAGCAAGCCAUUAUAGAAGCAACGUGUAUCCCAAGCAUCAAGACUGGCACCUCCAAGCUCCUUCCCCCUGGAACUUUACUCAACAUUUCAGCAUCAGGCCAUUAUAGCUUUGAAUUGUGCCUUUGAGCAUCUCUGUUUUUGCAUCCAUUAACAAGAUGUGUCCUAAGGUAAUUGUGUCUUCCCUUUAUGCCAUUUUGGUUUAGGAAAAGUUUCAUAGGAUUGCUCUCCUUUUGGAUAGUGGAGGCAGGAAACCUGUAAGUUAUACUUCAGAACUUCAGAAAGUCUCUGUAAAGC